UACAGGGGGGGCAAGCGUUGUUCGGAAUUACUGGGCGUAAAGGGUCUGUAGGUGGCCAACUAAGUCAGACGUGAAAUCCCUCAGCUUAACUGGGGAACUGCGUCUGAUACUGGAUGGCUUGAGUGUGGGAGAGGAAUGCGGAAUUCCAGGUGUAGCGGUGAAAUGCGCAGAUAUCAGGAGGAACACCGGUGGCGAAGGCGGGUCUCUGGGCCGAUACUGACGCUGAGGAGCGAAAGCGUGGGGAGCGAACAGG
Molecule: ribosomal RNA, 253 nt
Filed under: uncultured prokaryote
Description: partial 16S ribosomal RNA
Rfam family: Bacterial small subunit ribosomal RNA
Source: RNAcentral